CGGGCCGUGGCGCAGUUUGGUAGCGCGUUUGACUGGGGGUCAAAAGGUCGCAGGUUCGAAUCCUGUCGGCCCGAC
Molecule: transfer RNA, 75 nt
Filed under: Botrimarina mediterranea
Lineage: Bacteria; Pseudomonadati; Planctomycetota; Planctomycetia; Pirellulales; Lacipirellulaceae
Description: Planctomycetes bacterium Spa11 tRNA-Pro
Rfam family: tRNA
About the family: Transfer RNA (tRNA) molecules are approximately 80 nucleotides in length. Their secondary structure includes four short double-helical elements and three loops (D, anti-codon, and T loops).
Source: RNAcentral